UCGAGAAUAUUCGACAAUGGGCGAAAGCCUGAUCGAGCGACGCCGCGUGCGGGAUGAAGGCCUUCGGGUCGUAAACCGCGGUAGUAAGGGAGGAAUGCAAAUGACUGUACCUUACGGAAAGAGGUGGGUAACUACGUGCCAGCACCAGCGGUAAUACGUAGACCUCAAGCGUUAUCCGGAUUUAUUGGGCGUAAAGAGCAUGUAGGAGGCCUCGUGCGUCUCUGGUUAAAUUCCACCGCCUAACGGUGGACCUGCCAGAGAUACGGCGAAGCUAGAGGAGGUUAGAGGUGCAUGGAACUCACGGUGUAGGGGUGAAAUCCGUUGAUAUCGUGGGGAACACCAAAGGCGAAGGCAGUGCACUGGGACCUUCCUGACUCUGAGAUGCGAAAGCGUGGGGAGCAAAAAGGAUUAGAUACCCCCGUAGUCC
This 427-nucleotide ribosomal RNA is filed under the name uncultured bacterium. RNAcentral describes it as "bacterial SSU rRNA". It matches the Rfam family "Bacterial small subunit ribosomal RNA", at positions 355 to 796 of the family's 1533-position model. The record is from RNAcentral.